This is a non-coding RNA of Pelobates cultripes (western spadefoot toad), 431 nucleotides long. The record is from the annotation of a GenBank genome assembly. NCBI's taxonomy places the organism in Eukaryota, Metazoa, Chordata, Amphibia, Anura, Pelobatidae.
UAUAUUGUAUCAUUCUCAAAGUUCCAUUCGAACAGUUUCAGUGCUGCCCUCUCAGAACAUUUGGCAUUUAAAGACCUAGAGUAUUUUAUAUUAUUCUCAGACCAGCAAAGCUGUGUUUUCACAGACACUGAUUCCAGAGAGAUAAUCUCUAUGAGACUCAGUGUACACAGUCGAGUAUCUUAGUAACUUCUAUUUUAUAAAUAAAUUCACAUUAAAAGGGCUAGUUAAUACAAAAUCCAGCAACAUGUUAAACAUAUAAACACAGAAACUCCCAUUCCUCCUUUCACCAUCCUAUCUUCUAAAUGAACAAUGGGUCAGAGGGUCUUUAAAUCACCCCCUCAGAUGAACGACUCAAGGGAGACAGGGGAGCAACAGAACAUCAAACAUUGGAAUUAUCUGAGCUGCAGAUAGGGAUAUUUGUUUUAGGGAAG